RNAcentral lists this ribosomal RNA (406 nucleotides) under uncultured bacterium. RNAcentral's name for it is "partial 16S ribosomal RNA". It matches the Rfam family "Bacterial small subunit ribosomal RNA", at positions 30 to 526 of the family's 1533-position model. The record is from RNAcentral.
AUUGAACGCUGGCGGCAGGCCUAAAACAUGCAAGUCGAGCGAGCGGCGGACGGGUGAGUAAUGUAUGGGAAACUGCCUGAUGGAGGUGGAUAACUAAUGUAAACGGUAGCUAAUACCGCAUACCAUCAGAUGUGCCCAGAUGGGAUUAGAUAGUAGGUGGGGUAAUGGCUCACCUAGGCGACGAUCCCUAGCUGGUCUGAGAGGAUGACCAGCCACACUGGAACUGAUACACGUUCCAGACUCCUACGGGAGGCAGCAGUGGGGAAUCUUGCACAAUGGGCGCAAGCCUGAUGCAGCCAUGCCGCGUGUGUGAAGCAGGCCUUCGGGUUGUAAAGCACUUUCAGCGAGGAGGCGUUACUCGCAGAAGAAGCACCGGCUAACUCCGUGCCAGCAGCCGCGGUAAUAC